GGACUACUAGGGUUUCUAAUCCCGUUCGCUCCCCUAGCUUUCGCACCUGAGCGUCAGGUACUCCCCAGGACACUGCCUACGCCUUCGGUGUUCCUCCGGAUAUCUACGCAUUUCACCACUACACCCGGAAUUCCGUGUCCCUCUGAAGCCCUCAAGUCUGCCAGUUUUCAAAGCUCUUGACCAGUUAAGCUGGCCACUGUCACUUCAAACUUGGCUGACCGCCUGCGUGCCCUUUACGCCCAGUAACUCCGGACAACGCUCGCCCCCUACGUAUUACCGCGGCUGCUGGCAC
RNAcentral lists this ribosomal RNA (292 nucleotides) under uncultured bacterium. Its description in RNAcentral is "partial 16S ribosomal RNA". The record is from RNAcentral.